CCUACGGGAGGCAGCAGUGGGGAAUAUUGCACAAUGGGGGAAACCCUGAUGCAGCGACGCCGCGUGAGUGAAGAAGGAUUUCGGAAUGUAAAGCUCUGUCAGCAGGGAAGAAAAUGACGGUACCUGACCAAGAAGCCCCGGCUAACUACGUGCCAGCAGCCGCGGUAAUACGUAUGGGGCAAGCGUUAUCCGGAUUUACUGGGUGUAAAGGGAGCGUAGACGGCAGGGCAAGUCUGGAGUGAAAGGCGGGGGCUCAACCCCCGGACUGCUUUUGAAACUGCCUGGCUUGAGUGCAGGAGAGGUAAGUGGAAUUCCUAGUGUAGCGGUGAAAUGCGUAGAUAUUAGGAGGAACACCAGUGGCGAAGGCGGCUUACUGGACUGUAACUGACGUUGAGGCUCGAAAGCGUGGGGAGCAAACAGGAUUAGAUACCCUAGUAGUC
This 440-nucleotide ribosomal RNA is filed under the name uncultured bacterium. Its description in RNAcentral is "partial 16S ribosomal RNA". It matches the Rfam family "Bacterial small subunit ribosomal RNA", at positions 338 to 795 of the family's 1533-position model. The record is from RNAcentral.